This 2034-nucleotide long non-coding RNA is filed under the name Homo sapiens (human). RNAcentral's name for it is "HSALNT0405066". The record is from RNAcentral. Lineage: Eukaryota; Metazoa; Chordata; Mammalia; Primates; Hominidae.
AGAGCGGAGGAGCAGCAGCUGCCACCGGCCGGAAGCCUGCUGGCUCGGCCGAGAACAAUGGCCGCCUGUCACUGUGGACAGCUGUCUCCCAGGCUAAGGCAAGGCUGCGCUCCCAGGGAAUGCGGGCAGGGAGCCAGGGCGGAGGGCAGAGGACGAGAGCGAGGAGGAGAGCGCGGGCACCCACUGAUGCUGGCGGCCUCGGCAGGGAGGAAGGACGCCUGUUUCCCUUGGUCCCGGUGAGGCCAGGCCUCAGCUUCCUGCCCACCCGCCACUGCUGCUGGGGCAGGGAGGCAGUUUCCGGCUGUGGGGACCCAGACAAUGCCUGGCCAAGGGCCACCAUCGUCCUCUUCCUGGACACAGCUCCCGCCUCAUCCCAGGGUCUGGCCUGGGACACGCCCUAGAGGCCCUCAGCCCUGAGUCACUGCACCAUGCAGAUCCACCCUGAUUCUGGUCCCUGCAGAGCAGGCUCCUACACAAGGCAAGAAGAUGCUCCAGGGACAAGCCAAGGUGUAUGCAAGGCCCAGGUGCCUGAGAAACACGUCUCACCGACCUUGGGGCAGGGGCUGUUACAAGAGGCUUAUAGUCUAGUGGCAGAGACAAAAACCACACUCAAAUCAUUAGUGUACGGUAUGCACUGCUCAGGGACUCAAAUAUGUGACAGGAGGCUCCAAACAAGAGCGGAGACAAGGCGUAAAUAGCCCCCUGUGGACUGGAUGUUCUGACUCCUGGAUGGCCUCCAGAAGGAUGCCUUUUACGGUCUGUGAAAGAGCUCAGGGACCAAGAUGCUCAAAGCCCUUCAUGCCCAAGAGCCCCUCCUCAGGCUGGGACACGGGAAGCAGAGCUCGGAGGUGGAACUCGUGACUGUGUAUGGGCACAUGUGAGUGCGUGUGUGUGGACAGCCAGGCUUAGUGUAGACAACGUGUGAGGCUCAGACCCCAAGUGCUGACUACACCUAUGCACAUCCACACCUGCGUGUGAAAGAAGAUGCUAGAAAAGAACAAAAAUAACUUAAAAAAUAAAUCCAAUAAGAUGGCUGGAACAUAUAACAACUUCAAAUACUCCAUUUUAGUUCACCAUGUAAGGUGGGUUCCUGGGGGCUGAGGAGACUCGGGAGCUCUGCACCCCUCCUGCUCGCACCCAUCACUAGGUGGCUCACACAGCAGCCGCUCAACAAGUCUGGCUGCUCUCGCAUCAAAACCAAAACCCACUGCCCUCCCCUGCGCCCCCAGCACUGACCCCAACACUUUGGUUCGGGGCCCUCCUGGGCAGGUCACCUGCACUGCCUACUCACUCCUCAGCCCUCCAGGCCCUCCCACCUUGGAUCCUUCCCUGGGACCCUGCUCUGCGCCCUUCUCCCCCUGCCCAGGAACUGAAGGCUGAUGUUGUCACCCCGGUGCUGCGGCCUGUCCGUCUUCAGCACCUGUGCCCCACGCAGGCCCAGCAAACCCCUGGGCUCUGUUGUUCCCCGGGAUGGCUUUUCCAUCUGAUCCCCAGCUUGGGGCUGGCACCGCUUGGCUUUGCCCGGUCACCUCAUGCUUGGGCCAAAGUGCACCAACCCUUCUGUCCCGGGCCUGGCUUUUUGCCUCAAGGCAGCAAUGGCCCCAUGCCACCUCCACGAAGACCCAGUGGCUGCAGAACUCCCUGGUCUGGACUCCCCUGCUCCCUGCAGAGUGCCACCUGCUCCUCUCAAGAAGGCAGAACGUGAGGCCUUUCCUCACCUCCCGUGCAUUGGCACCCCUGCUGGGCCCACUCUGCUCCACCACUGGGGGCUGAUUCACUUUGUGCCACAUAUCUAAAAUAUUUCCUCAAAACAAGCCAAUAACACCCUUUGCGCAUGCCAUGACCUCAUGGAGCGUGGUCACCGGACAUUUCCUCCUGAGCUCUAGGCAGCUGUGGGGGAUGCUGGGUGGCAUAGCCCUUGCAUGUGGCUGACACUUAGCAAUGUUUGUGCCCAUGUUGCACAGGGAGAGCACAAGUCACUGACUCUGCUAGGGCCUGGGGUCAAGGAAAAUAGGCCCUUGGUGGGUGUCAGGA